UACGGAGGAUCCAAGCGUUAUCCGGAAUCAUUGGGUUUAAAGGGUCCGUAGGCGGUUUAAUAAGUCAGUGGUGAAAUCUGGUCGCUCAACGAUCAAACGGCCAUUGAUACCGUUAGACUUGAAUUAUUGGGAAGUAACUAGAAUAUGUAGUGUAGCGGUGAAAUGCUUAGAUAUUACAUGGAAUACCAAUUGCGAAGGCAGGUUACUACCAAUGGAUUGACGCUGAUGGACGAAAGCGUGGGGAGCGAACAGG
Molecule: ribosomal RNA, 253 nt
Filed under: uncultured bacterium
Lineage: Bacteria
Description: partial 16S ribosomal RNA
Rfam family: Bacterial small subunit ribosomal RNA
Source: RNAcentral